Molecule: transfer RNA, 93 nt
Filed under: Staphylococcus shinii
Lineage: Bacteria; Bacillati; Bacillota; Bacilli; Caryophanales; Staphylococcaceae
Description: tRNA-Ser
Rfam family: tRNA
About the family: Transfer RNA (tRNA) molecules are approximately 80 nucleotides in length. Their secondary structure includes four short double-helical elements and three loops (D, anti-codon, and T loops).
Source: RNAcentral
GGAGGAAUACCCAAGUCCGGCUGAAGGGAUCGGUCUUGAAAACCGGCAGGGGCUUAACGGCCCGCGGGGGUUCGAAUCCCUCUUCCUCCGCCA